GAGUGAAGCAGAAGAGAGGCGUUCUUUUGACCCCAUACUCACCUGCGCGGUCGAACAAAUUGUACAUGAUUCUACGUUUCAUCAGGAUUGACAACCAUGUGGUUAGGGAUAAAGAGUUUAUACGCACUGGGGACAACCGAGUCAAGAUAAUAGGCCAGCAAACUGUAGAGAAAUAUAUCCAGCGUCAUCAUAAUAAGACUUCCACCGAAUGGUAUACCUGGACCAGACCAAAGGGUUCAGUUUGGAAACGUGGAAAUUGAUCGCUCACCUUGUCCAUGGCUAAAGCAACCCCAGAAGGACUGAUCAACGAAGCCACCCAAAACGCUAUUGAGCUUGAGUCGUCCACGAAUACUUGUAUGAAAUACAUGAGACUCAAUAUCGUCACUGCAAAAUUACCAAGUACUCCAGCGGUCUGAAAAGUUGAAAAUACUGUGAAAUACCAUCGACAGUAAUGACCUG
This 459-nucleotide unclassified non-coding RNA is filed under the name Athalia rosae (coleseed sawfly). Its description in RNAcentral is "misc RNA ENSAEAG00005008972.1". Lineage: Eukaryota; Metazoa; Arthropoda; Insecta; Hymenoptera; Athaliidae. The record is from RNAcentral.